Molecule: ribosomal RNA, 468 nt
Filed under: uncultured bacterium
Lineage: Bacteria
Description: partial 16S ribosomal RNA
Rfam family: Bacterial small subunit ribosomal RNA
Source: RNAcentral
GACGAACGCUGGCGGCGUGCUUAACACAUGCAAGUCGAACGGAAAGGCCCUGCUUUUGUGGGGUGCUCGAGUGGCGAACGGGUGAGUAACACGUGAGUAACCUGCCCUUGACUUUGGGAUAACUUCAGGAAACUGGGGCUAAUACCGGAUAGGAGCUCCUGCUGCAUGGUGGGGGUUGGAAAGUUUCGGCGGUUGGGGAUGGACUCGCGGCUUAUCAGCUUGUUGGUGGGGUAGUGGCUUACCAAGGCUUUGACGGGUAGCCGGCCUGAGAGGGUGACCGGCCACAUUGGGACUGAGGUACGGCCCAGACUCCUACGGGAGGCAGCAGUGGGGAAUAUUGCACAAUGGGCGGAAGCCUGAGGCAGCAACGCCGCGUGCGGGAUGACGGCCUUCGGGUUGUAAACCGCUUUCGCCUGUGACGAAGCGUGAGUGACGGUAAUGGGUAAAGAAGCACCGGCUAACUACGUG